CCUACGGGAGGCAGCAGUGGGGGAUAUUGGACAAUGGGGGAAACCCUGAUCCAGCGACGCCGCGUGAGUGAAGAAGUAUUUCGGUAUGUAAAGCUCUAUCAGCAGGGAAGAAAGAAAUGACGGUACCUGAGUAAUAAGCCCCGGCUAACUACGUGCCAGCAGCCGCGGUAAUACGUAGGGGGCAAGCGUUAUCCGGAAUUACUGGGUGUAAAGGGAGCGUAGACGGCGAUGCAAGUCUGGAGUGAAAGGCGGGGGCCCAACCCCCGGACUGCUUUGGAAACUGGAUGGCUGGAGUGCAGGAGAGGUAAGUGGAAUUCCUAGUGUAGCGGUGAAAUGCGUAGAUAUUAGGAGGAACACCAGUGGCGAAGGCGGCUUACUGGACUGUAACUGACGUUGAGGCUCGAAAGCGUGGGGAGCAAACAGGAUUAGAUACCCGAGUAGUC
This 443-nucleotide ribosomal RNA is filed under the name uncultured bacterium. RNAcentral's name for it is "partial 16S ribosomal RNA". It matches the Rfam family "Bacterial small subunit ribosomal RNA", at positions 338 to 795 of the family's 1533-position model. The record is from RNAcentral.